CGCGGCCUAUCAGCUUGUUGGUGAGGUAACGGCUCACCAAGGCAAUGACGGGUAGCUGGUCUGAGAGGACGAUCAGCCACACUGGAACUGAGAUACGGUCCAGACUCCUACGGGAGGCAGCAGGAGGGAAUCUUGCGCAAUGGGCGAAAGCCUGACGCAGCGACGCCGCGUGGGGGAUGAAUGCCUUAGGGUUGUAAACCCCUUUCACGAGGGAAGAAACUGACGGUACCUUGAGAAGAAGCCCCGGCCAACUACGUGCCAGCAGCCGCGGUAAUACGUAGGGGGCGAGCGUUGUCCGGAUUUAUUGGGCGUAAAGGGCUCGUAGGCGGCUUGACAAGUCGGUCGUGAAAGCCCAGGGCUCAACCCUGGGACGCCGGUCGAUACUGUCAUGGCUAGGGUCCGGUAGAGGGGAAUGGAAUUCCCGGUGUAGCGGUGAAAUGCGCAGAUAUCGGGAGGAACACCAGUAGCGAAGGCGGUUCCCUGGGCCGGUACCGACGCUGAGGAGCGAAAGCGUGGGUAGCAAACAGGAUUAGAUACCCUGGUAGUCCACGCCGUAAACGUUGGGUACUAGGCGUGGCGUCUUAUCAACGGAUGCCGUGCUCGAAGCUAACGCGUUAAGUACCCCGCCUGGGGAGUACGG
This 640-nucleotide ribosomal RNA is filed under the name uncultured bacterium. RNAcentral's name for it is "bacterial SSU rRNA". It matches the Rfam family "Bacterial small subunit ribosomal RNA", at positions 232 to 885 of the family's 1533-position model. The record is from RNAcentral.